GACGAACCGUGCGAACGUUGUUCGGAUUCACUGGGCUUAAAGGGCGCGUAGGCGGCUUGCCAAGUCAGGGGUGAAAUCUUUCGGCUCAACCGGAAAAGUGCUUCUGAUACUGGCGGGCUGGAGGGGGGUAGGGGCAGAUGGAACUUCCGGUGGAGCGGUGAAAUGCGUAGAUAUCGGAAGGAACGCCGGCGGCGAAAGCGAUCUGCUGGACCCCUUCUGACGCUGAGGCGCGAAAGCCAGGGGAGCGAAUGGG
This 253-nucleotide ribosomal RNA is filed under the name uncultured bacterium. Its description in RNAcentral is "partial 16S ribosomal RNA". It matches the Rfam family "Bacterial small subunit ribosomal RNA", at positions 524 to 776 of the family's 1533-position model. The record is from RNAcentral.